Molecule: long non-coding RNA, 773 nt
Filed under: Vitis vinifera (wine grape)
Lineage: Eukaryota; Viridiplantae; Streptophyta; Magnoliopsida; Vitales; Vitaceae
Description: long non-coding RNA (VVIN_LNC007490)
Source: RNAcentral
UUGACUAGUUUUUUCUCUGGAAGGGAGGAAUCACGCUGGUCUGAAAAAAAAAAAAAGGAUGAAGAGAGAAAAGAAAAGAAAAAAAAAAAAGAAACGCACCAUUAAGGAGAAGUCUGACCAAUGAUGGAAAAAAUAUGAAGUGUGAUCCGAAUGGAGGAAGGGGACUGUUUCUGCUGUUCCUUCCAUUACUGUGGCUAGAGAGAGGAGCUGAAUGGGGGAUUGAGAAGAGAUUAAGAAAAAAGAAAAAGGAAAGAAGGAGGAGUCCAUGUUUGAAAAAUGAUAUAGGAGACUGUCGUUUGAGAGGAUGGAGGAGGGUUUUCAGAGCGAAAGGAGGCUGCUAUUUUGGAACCCACAUACGCGACUGUUUGCUGAUUCACUGACCAUUCACCCCGCGAUUGGGAAGGUACAGAGGAGAGGGAACGAGAAGAUUUGAAAGGGAAAGAAGGGAAACAAGAUUUGGACUCACCGACGGUAAGAUUCUGAACACCCAGACUAUUUUGGUCAACCUUGCCGCUGAAGUUGAUGUAGCCAAGUCGGAGUUGGUGUUUGCGUUAUCUGAAUUUUCCUGUCGCAUGAAUCUUCUGAAUCUUCCUUUGGCUGAAAACCGGGAACCAUCCAAACAACAGCCCACCCAUCCAUACUUCCUUGAAAACGAUUUGAAAGAAUAAUAUUGGCUGAAGAACUAAAACUCGAUCAACUCUCAUCAACUCGUACACCAUUGUUCCCGAGCACCAUUGGAGAAGAAAAAACAACUACACACUACCAGGUUGUUU